Molecule: ribosomal RNA, 116 nt
Filed under: Geobacillus sp. PA-3
Lineage: Bacteria; Bacillati; Bacillota; Bacilli; Caryophanales; Anoxybacillaceae
Source: RNAcentral
UAGUGGUGAUAGCGGAGAGGAAACACCCGUUCCCAUCCCGAACACGGAAGUUAAGCUCUCCAGCGCCGAUGGUAGUUGGGGCCAGCGCCCCUGCAAGAGUAGGUCGCUGCUAGGCU